GUCGAGAAUCUUUCACAAUGGGGGCAACCCUGAUGGAGCGACGCCGCGUGGAGGAUAAGGUCUUCGGAUUGUAAACUCCUGUCAUGCGUGAACAAGGUUGCAGGGAUAAUACCUCUGCAAAUUGAUAGUAUCGCAAGAGGAAGAGACGGCUAACUCUGUGCCAGCAGCCGCGGUAAUACAGAGGUCUCAAGCGUUGUUCGGAAUCACUGGGCGUAAAGGGUGCGUAGGUGGCGUGGCAAGUCAGAUGUGAAAGCCCGGGGCUCAACCUCGGAACUGCAUCCGAUACUGCCAUGCUGGAGUACUGGAGAGGUGACUAGAAUUCUCGGUGUAGCAGUGAAAUGCGUAGAUAUCGAGAGGAAUACCAAAGGCGUAGGCAGGUCACUGGACAGUUACUGACACUGAGGCACGAAGGCCAGGGGAGCGAACGGGAUUAGAAACCCGGGUAGUCC
Molecule: ribosomal RNA, 449 nt
Filed under: uncultured bacterium
Lineage: Bacteria
Description: partial 16S ribosomal RNA
Rfam family: Bacterial small subunit ribosomal RNA
Source: RNAcentral